UAAACAUUGAUAGCACCUCACAUUCGCUAUCCGCCCGGGAACUACGAGCAGUAGCUUAAAACCCAAAGGACUUGGCGGUGCUUAAGAUCCACCUAGAGGAGCCUGUUCUAGAACCGAUAACCCCCGUUCAACCUCACCCUCUCUUGUUUUUCCCGCCUAUAUACCGCCGUCGUCAGCUUACCCUGUGAAGGUUUAAUAGUAAGCAAAAUUGGCAUAGCCCAAAACGUCAGGUCGAGGUGUAGCGUAUGAGAGGGGAAGAAAUGGGCUACAUUUCCUAAAGUAGGAAAUACGGAUAUUGCACUGAAAUGUGCAUUUGAAGGAGGAUUUAACAGUAAGCAGAAAAUAGAGCGUCCUGCUGAAACUGGCCCUGAAGCGCGCACACACCGCCCGUCACUCUCCCCGAACAUCAACCUCAACAUAAUUAAUAAUCCAUAACUACAAAGGGGAGGCAAGUCGUAACAUGGUAAGUGUACCGGAAGGUGUACUUGGAAAAAU
This 495-nucleotide ribosomal RNA is filed under the name Trichopodus leerii (pearl gourami). RNAcentral describes it as "partial 12S ribosomal RNA". It matches the Rfam family "Bacterial small subunit ribosomal RNA", at positions 803 to 1533 of the family's 1533-position model. Lineage: Eukaryota; Metazoa; Chordata; Actinopteri; Anabantiformes; Osphronemidae. The record is from RNAcentral.